RNAcentral lists this RNase P RNA (332 nucleotides) under marine eukaryotic metagenome. RNAcentral's name for it is "Bacterial RNase P class A". It matches the Rfam family "Bacterial RNase P class A". Rfam says of the family: Ribonuclease P (RNase P) is a ubiquitous endoribonuclease, found in archaea, bacteria and eukarya as well as chloroplasts and mitochondria. Its best characterised activity is the generation of mature 5'-ends of tRNAs by cleaving the 5'-leader elements of precursor-tRNAs. The record is from RNAcentral.
CGAUGAUCGCUUGAGCAAUCAAGAGGAAAGUCCGGGCUCCUCUGGAAAAUAAAACCAGGUAACUCCUGGCAGACGUAAGUCUAGGGAAAGUGCAACAGAAAAUACACCGCCCGAUAGGGUAAGGGUGAAAUGGUAAGGUAAAAGCUUACCGCAUGACUGGUAACAGUUGUGGCAAGGCAAACCCUUUUAGGAGUAAGGCCAAAUAGGAAUAACAAUUAAUUUCCAGUUAAGUUAUUCGGGUAGGCUGCUUGAAACAAAUGGAGACAUUUGUUCUAGAUUAAUGAUCAUCAAAUUUAGCAAUAAAUUUACAGAACCCGGCUUAUGCACCAUCU